This 465-nucleotide ribosomal RNA is filed under the name uncultured bacterium. Its description in RNAcentral is "partial 16S ribosomal RNA". It matches the Rfam family "Bacterial small subunit ribosomal RNA", at positions 339 to 795 of the family's 1533-position model. The record is from RNAcentral.
CUACGGGGCGCACCAGUGAGGAAUAUUGCACAAUGGGGGAAACCCUGAUCCAGCAAUGCCGCGUGUGUGAAGAAGGCCUGCGGGUUGUAAAGCACUUUCGGUUGGGAGGACUGCUUCUAGCACUAAUAUUGUUGGAAGUUGACGUUACCUUCAGAAGAAGCACCGGCUAACUCCGUGCCAGCAGCCGCGGUAAUACGGAGAGUGCAAGCGUUAAUCGGAAUUACUGGGCGUAAAGCGCGCGUAGGCGGCUAGAUCAGUCGGGUGUGAAAGCCCCGGGCUUAACCUGGGAACUGCAUCCGAUACUGUCUAGCUUGAGUACAGGAGAGGAGAGUGGAAUUCCACAUGUAGCGGUGAAAUGCGUAGAUAUGUGGAGGAACACCAAUGGCGAAGGCAGCUCUCUGGCCUGAUACUGACGCUGAGGUGCGAAAGCGUGGGGAGCAAACAGGAUUAGAUACCCUUGUAGUC